AAGCCUUUCAAUAGGAAGGAUACCUAUCGGUUAUACCCGGUAACUGACUUACCUAUACAGAAGCACCGGCUAAUCCGUGCCGCAGCGCGGUAAUACGGAGGGUGCAAGCGUUAAUCGGAAUUACUGGGCGUAAAGCGUGCGUAGGCGGUUAUUUAAGUCAGAUGUGAAAGCCCUGGGCUUAACCUGGGAACUGCAUUUGAUACUGGAUGACUAGAGUUGAGUAGAGGAGAGUGGAAUUUCAGGUGUAGCGGUGAAAUGCGUAGAGAUCUGAAGGAACACCAGUGGCGAAGGCGGCUCUCUGGACUCAAACUGACGCUGAGGUACGAAAGCGUGGGUAGCAAACAGGAUUAGAUACCCUGGUAGUCCACGCCGUAAACGAUGUCAACUAACCGUUGGGUUCUUUAAGAACUUAGUGGUGGGGCUAACGUAUUAAGUUGACCGCCUGGGGAGUACGGCCGCAAGGCUAAAACUCAAAUGAAUUGACGGAGGCCCGCACAAGCGGUGGAGCAUGUAGGAUAAUUCGAUGCAACGCGAAGAACCUUACCUAAC
This 549-nucleotide ribosomal RNA is filed under the name uncultured bacterium. RNAcentral's name for it is "bacterial SSU rRNA". It matches the Rfam family "Bacterial small subunit ribosomal RNA", at positions 429 to 979 of the family's 1533-position model. The record is from RNAcentral.